RNAcentral lists this ribosomal RNA (446 nucleotides) under uncultured bacterium. Its description in RNAcentral is "bacterial SSU rRNA". It matches the Rfam family "Bacterial small subunit ribosomal RNA", at positions 335 to 795 of the family's 1533-position model. The record is from RNAcentral.
ACUCCUACGGGAGGCAGCAGUGGGGAAUAUUGGGCAAUGGGCGCAAGCCUGACCCAGCAACGCCGCGUGAGGGAAGAAGGCUUUCGGGUUGUAAACCACUGUCCUUGGUGACGAAAAAAAUGACGGUAGCCAAGGAGGAAGCCCCGGCUAACUACGUGCCAGCAGCCGCGGUAAUACGUAGGGGGCGAGCGUUGUCCGGAAUUACUGGGCGUAAAGGGUGCGUAGGUGGCCUUUUAAGUUGGAUGUGAAAUACCCGGGCUUAACUUGGGGGGUGCAUCUAAUACUGGGAGGCUAGAGUGCAGGGGAGGAAAGCGGAAUUCCUAGUGUAGCGGUGAAAUGCGUAGAUAUUAGGAGGAACACCAGUGGCGAAGGCGGCUUUCUGGACUGUAACUGACACUGAGGCACGAAAGCGUGGGGAGCAAACAGGAUUAGAUACCCUGGUAGUC